UAGCGACGGUGAUCAGGAAGCUAGAGCCUAUGAACCAAGGGACGACGCGUUGCAAUGUUAGCAACAACUAGACACAGAUUCAAGCAUAUAAAAAGAAGUCUUGAAGAAAUUGUGGGCUGUCUCAGCGCUUUGGAAACCAACGCAGAUAGGGAUCAGGUCAAAAAUAAAAGGCCAAGAUGAUGUGCAACAUCACGAGGCAUACGUAAACCACUUCCAUGGACAGCUAGAAAAUGACCAAGGCUUAGAGACAACACAUGAGGCAUGCAUGGUGUGGAAGAAUUUGGGCUGGAAUAGUGAUAAAGAAUUAAGCUUAUUUGGAAUUAGAAAGACUAGGUCUAAAAGGGUCUAGCUUUGAGAAGAGUGUUAAGCUUGAUGAAUGGGCCUUAAAGAUAAAAAUCCAAGCCCAUUAGGCAUGUGUGGCAUGUGGCAUGGAAUCCUAAAGGGAUUUGGAGUUGUUUUAAGCCAUGUUUGUCUCUUUAAAAUUGAUAAUUAUCUAUUCAUAAAUUUUAGGCAUGAUUUAAGGAAUCUACCUAAAAUCAAGGUUUAAUUCAUGGAGUACCUAUCCUUUUCCAUCCAAAACCAAUUCAAGCUAGUAGAAGUCCAAGACUCCUACAACAAACAUGGGUGGCAUCCUUGUGAUUGGUGGGGAUAAUUUGACUUUUGCUACUCUUUAGGGAUGCGUCCCACAUCAGUUCUGCAGAGAGGUCUUGAGUGUUAUAUAUAUAUGGAUUUGCAAAUCUCUCCUUGUGAGCUGGCUUUUGAGGUGU
This 767-nucleotide unclassified non-coding RNA is filed under the name Hevea brasiliensis (rubber tree). Lineage: Eukaryota; Viridiplantae; Streptophyta; Magnoliopsida; Malpighiales; Euphorbiaceae. The record is from RNAcentral.